GUAGAGGUUACAGAGGGGCCACCCACUUGGCUGGGGCAAGCAGGAAUGCUUUCCAGAGAGGCCACACUUCCAGGCUGUGGGGACCCGAGCACAGGGGUGGCGAGUUCUGGCAUUUAUUAUUAUUAUUUGUUCCAGAACAAAAUUCAACUCCCAUCCUCAGUUGGCCAAUAAUGUGGUAGGAACAGGUGGGAGCUGACCCCCAGAUGCAGGGUGCUGGGUGCUGUGCUGAUUUUCUGGGGCUGCUGUGCAAAGUACCACAGCCUGAGUGGCUUUAGACCAUGGAGAUGUGCUGUGUUGCAGUUCUGGAGGCCAGAAGUCCCAGGUGCAGGUGCCAGCAGGACUGGGCACCCUCUGAAGGCCCUAGGGAAGCGUCCCUCCUUGAGCUCCUUGGUGCCCAUCCAAGCACCUGCCCCUGCCCCUUUGGGAGCCCCACCACAGUCUAUGAUCAUGCAUUUAUUGAUCACUUAUUAACUUAUUUAUUGGCUAAUUACACAUUUGUUGACUAUUGAAAAUGCGAACUAUGUCUGGUUUACCUUUGAAUCCCAGCAUCUGUGAAGAGCCGGCUCCUGCUAUUAUUAUUGUUAAUCAGUAUUAGUAUUAGCAUUAAAUGAAUGAACAGGUA
Homo sapiens (human) is the source of this 622-nucleotide long non-coding RNA. The record is from Ensembl. NCBI's taxonomy places the organism in Eukaryota, Metazoa, Chordata, Mammalia, Primates, Hominidae.